Molecule: ribosomal RNA, 467 nt
Filed under: uncultured bacterium
Lineage: Bacteria
Description: bacterial SSU rRNA
Rfam family: Bacterial small subunit ribosomal RNA
Source: RNAcentral
UCGAGCGGGCGUAGCAAUACGUCAGCGGCAGACGGGUGAGUAACGCGUGGGAACGUACCUUUUGGUUCGGAACAACACAGGGAAACUUGUGCUAAUACCGGAUAAGCCCUUACGGGGAAAGAUUUAUCGCCGAAAGAUCGGCCCGCGUCUGAUUAGCUAGUUGGUGAGGUAACGGCUCACCAAGGCGACGAUCAGUAGCUGGUCUGAGAGGAUGAUCAGCCACAUUGGGACUGAGACACGGCCCAAACUCCUACGGGAGGCAGCAGUGGGGAAUAUUGGACAAUGGGCGCAAGCCUGAUCCAGCCAUGCCGCGUGAGUGAUGAAGGCCCUAGGGUUGUAAAGCUCUUUUGUGCGGGAAGAUAAUGACGGUACCGCAAGAAUAAGCCCCGGCUAACUUCGUGCCAGCAGCCGCGGUAAUACGAAGGGGGCUAGCGUUGCUCGGAAUCACUGGGCGUAAAGGGUGCGUA